Anguilla rostrata (American eel) is the source of this 1809-nucleotide long non-coding RNA. RefSeq lists it as uncharacterized. The transcript is spliced from 3 exons. The record is from RefSeq and is a predicted model, not a curated record. Lineage: Eukaryota; Metazoa; Chordata; Actinopteri; Anguilliformes; Anguillidae.
GGCUAUUGUCACCUCUAGCCUUUUGUGACCAUCUUUUAUGCUGCAAUGUGUCAGUGCCCUGGCAGACUUACCUAAGGACCAACACCAAGAGCAACCUGUUUGUAUGUGGAUUCUGCAAAUACAUUUGCAUCUAGGUCUGCUAGUGGGUCGCCAUUUAGGGGCAAUGGGCCUGCUUCUCAGGGAUCCCAAACUGGACACCCUACUGUGAUGAAGGGGCCCUAAUUGUCCAGUCACUGCCAAGUAUUUAAUGUUGCCUGGAGAAGAGCCAAUAUGGAGGCAGUCCAAGAGCUUAUUGAGCCACUGAAACUAACAAGCACUGAUGUCCUGUAGCAUAUAUGCAGAAACUGGAAGCUGUAUGGUCUGGACUGGAUUCAGCAGGAGCUCUAUAAAAUAAAAAUGGAAAAACAAGAAGACUCUGCAUUUCUGUUGUUAUACCACUGGGGAUGAUAAAACCAGGACGACAGGAACUAGGGAAAUCUGACUCUGCUGCUUGCGCUGGAGUGGCAUAAAGGAAUCACACUACAGUGGAGGUGACGAUAUGGUCCUUGACUAGAGAGAUUGGCUGGAGCUCGUGCCUGGCCUCCUUAAGACGGAACCGAAUUACUGUAGCAGUCUCAGGCUUCAUAGGAGAACCACAGUGAACACACACAUAAUGUACAGAAAUCACAGGCAAGUGCGCUCUGAACUAAAUGUGUGGAAAGGCUGUGUGGGUGGAGUCUGUAGCCUUGCUCUGCGCUGCCAGUCUGUAGGCGUAGACCCCAUUCAGUCCCAGUAAAAGGACUCUUUGUAGUCUGCAUCUCAGGUCUCUUAUCGAAUGAACUGCUGAUCUGGCAAGUGGGCGAGCUCUCUGAUGAUGCUCCUGGAAAAGAUGGUUCUGCCAGAUGUGAGUUGCUCAGCCGAGGACUUGAAAGUGGCAGCAACACGAAUCCUUACAUUGGUCUGUCCUCACAUCCACUUUGAACUUGAACUAUCUUCAGCUGGAUGCUGGGAUAAAGCACCCAGUUAAACUCACUAGAGGGGGAUUUGUGCAUGGCAUUUUUUGAUGUUAGCCUGUGAGUUGUUGCUACACAAUUAAAUGUCCAGCGUUAACUCCAUUCUAACAGUGUUAAUUCAACUCAAAACAUUUGGUCCCACUCUGGAAUGUGCAACCAAAUGGUAUCUGUUGAGAGCUGAAAUAACACUGUUGGAGUUGAAUUAACACUGGACAUUAUACUGAAAAAGGCCUGGAGAUCUGUAAAGCACAUGGCCGUAGUAACUGCGGAUUAACUAUGGGUAACAAAGAUUUAUUUUGCAUUCAGUGUGUUGGUUAGUUCACUGUGUUAGUUGGUAAUAAAGGUAGACUGCUGCCUGAAAUUGCACAUAGAGUAAGGUACAGUUGUGCAGGUCGAGCUCAGCUUGGCUGUGUCAGAGCAUGAGAAUGAAAGUUUAUUGAGAAGAGUGGCUCUUAAACAGAAGAGGAGCAACCAAGACAAAUUCAAUUAAGCAUCAGAUAGAAUUUCAAAGCAUUAGAAUGACAGAGAGCUGCUAAGGCUUCGGAUCAGAGUCAUAAUAGCUGUUGUCACUGGGUCAUGCCUGUUCCCUUCACACACUUAAGCAGAGGGCAUUCAUUAUGCCUCGUAUUAUAAUAAUGGGAGAUCAGAUAUCCAGUGGCUGUUAAAAACUCCUCACAGCUGUGAGCACUGUCCUCAGUCAUGCUGAUUACUCUGACAACCCUCUGCACUUCAGAAUCAAGGACAGUCCAGGGAGGGAUAGUCAUCGGCAGAGGGAAUCCUAUCGGACCCGACGUAAACAUCCGUGAGUAGAGGUUUA